Molecule: long non-coding RNA, 1496 nt
Filed under: Monodelphis domestica (gray short-tailed opossum)
Lineage: Eukaryota; Metazoa; Chordata; Mammalia; Didelphimorphia; Didelphidae
Description: lncRNA (ENSMODG00000046093.1)
Source: RNAcentral
GAAAUUCUCCAUGAGGAGACUCCCUUCAACAGGGCAGGCUUCUGCCAGUCCUUCAAUUUAUGGUCCUGGAGAAUUGCCAGAAGCAGUAAAAGGAUGGAGGGACUUGCUCACUAAUCACUUAGCCAAGAGGCAGGACUUGAACUCAAGACAAACUGACUCCAAGUCUGGAUCUCGACCUCUGAUGCAUCAUUGGCUGCCAUGGCAAACAUUUGCCAAAGGAAGCGCCAGAGAACCCAGGAUUCUUGAGAGCCUUCCCAGGGUCUACAAUCUCUGGCAGGCCUGCCAAUCUGCAAAGACUUGGAAUAUGGGUCCAGCCUGUCUUCUGGAUCCAGGUCAGCCAGGCCAAGUUCAGAGAUGCUCCUUCUCACUUGACUAUAUACAGGUUGCUGUCGGUUUCAGCCAAGGCAACUUUCAAAGGCCAAGACUAGAGUCUUCUAGGGCUUCAAUAGAGUCAGUGGGUGAAGAAGGAAGAAGUUCCCUCUCUGAGAAAGUAUGAUGAACUUCUGAAGCAGUGAAAUGUAUCUGUAUUAUAAAGAAGGAAAACCCCCCAACAAAGAUGGCAAUUUUCUUGAUUUUAGUUUUUUCUGGGUCUGGAGUCAGAAAGAUCUGAGUUCAAAUGGGAUCUCAGACUCUCCACUAGCUAUGAUUCUGGGCAAGUCAUUUAAUCCCUGUUUGCCUAAUCUACUGAGGCAGUAAUGAGAAACCAAUCCAGUAUCUUUGUCAAGAAGAUCCUGAAAUAUUUUCCUGGCUUUCCCCUGGAGACCCUUCUUUCUCCCUGGCUCUCUAAAUUUCAAGAGUAAAAGGCUGAGAAGAGAGGCUGUGUGCAACAAAACGGAAAUUCCCAAGGUAAGCCCAACUAAAAGGGCUCCUAAAAAAGGACCAAGUAGGAGGAGAUGGAGGAGAUCUUUGCACAAAGGAGAAAAUUAAGGCUCAGAGAGAGGUCCACAGCCAGCUGAUAGGAAGGCUGAGCAGAAAAUGCAGGUGUCUUGGCUUCUUGAAUUAGACUGAAAGUUCUUCUCAACACACCAAGCUGCCUAAAGGCACCUUUGACAAUGCUGAGAUUACAUUGCAUGCCUUGGAUUUGACUUCAGAUGUUAUAACACAUGAGCACAUGUGCAGAUCACAGAACCCCCAGAACACUGGAGUGUGAGGUUCAACCUUUCAUUUGGAGGAAUGGUCUGAUGGAGAAAGUGCUGGACUUGGGAGUCAGGGGGACCCGGGUUUGAUGCCUUGGACACUCACUAGUUGUGUGCCUAUGGGCAAACCAUUACACCUCAGAGUUUCAUUUUCCAUAUAUGUAAAAUGGGGAUAGAGCAGGGUGGAUAGGAAUGGAUAGAAAGCGGUCCUAGGGGUCAGAACGACCUGAGUUCAAGUUUUACCUAUGAGGCAUGUGCGGCUGUAUCAUUCUGGGAAAGUCCCUUAACCCCUCAGUGACUUGCAAUUUUCUAAGGCUGAAUAUACAUCUCCUGACAGGUGUUACCUUUUCAUCGGUAGAG